AGAACGAACGCUGGCGGCAUGCCUAACACAUGCAAGUCGAACGCUUCCGGGGCUUCGGUCGCGGAGGAGUGGCGCACGGGUGAGUAGCGCGUGGGAACCUGCCCUGUUGUGGGGGAUAACCGAGGGAAACUUCGGCUAAUACCGCAUACGCCCCGGGACUUGGUCUUCGGAUUAGGUCUGGGGGGAAAGAUUGAUCGCAGCAGGAGGGGCCCGCGUCGGAUUAGCUGGUUGGUGGGGUAACGGCUCACCAAGGCGAUGAUCCGUAGCUGGUCUGAGAGGAUGAUCAGCCACACUGGGACUGAGACACGGCCCAGACUCCUACGGGAGGCAGCAGUGGGGGAAUAUUGGACAAUGGGGGCAACCCUGAUCCAGCAAUGCCGCGUGAGUGAUGAAGGCCUUAGGGUUGUAAAGCUCUUUCGCCCGCGACGAUGAUGACGGUAGCGGGAGAAGAAGCCCCGGCUAACUUCGCGCCAGCAGCCGCGGU
Molecule: ribosomal RNA, 484 nt
Filed under: uncultured bacterium
Lineage: Bacteria
Description: SSU rRNA
Rfam family: Bacterial small subunit ribosomal RNA
Source: RNAcentral